UACGAAGGGGGCUAGCGUUGUUCGGAAUUACUGGGCGUAAAGCGCACGUAGGCGGCCUUGUACGUUGGGGGUGAAAUCCCGAGGCUCAACCUCGGAAUUGCCUUCAAGACUGCUUGGCUCGAGUUCGGGAGAGGUGAGUGGAAUUCGCAGUGAAGAGGUGAAAUUCGUAGAGAUUGGGAAGAACACCAGUGGCGACGGCUGCUCACUGGCCCGUAACUGACGCUGAGGUGCGAAAGCGUGGGGAGCAAACAGG
This 253-nucleotide ribosomal RNA is filed under the name uncultured bacterium. RNAcentral describes it as "partial 16S ribosomal RNA". It matches the Rfam family "Bacterial small subunit ribosomal RNA", at positions 524 to 776 of the family's 1533-position model. The record is from RNAcentral.